UCCGCAGGCGGGCAAUUAAGUCAGGGGUGAAAUGGUGCGGCUCAACCGUAGCACUGCCCUUGAUACUGGUUGUCUUGAGUCAUAGUGAAGUGGCCGGAAUAUGUAGUGUAGCGGUGAAAUGCAUAGAUAUUACAUAGAACACCGAUUGCGAAGGCAGGUCACUAACUAUGUACUGACGCUGACGGACGAAAGCGUGGGGAGCGAACAGGAUUAGAUACCCUGGUAGUCC
This 229-nucleotide ribosomal RNA is filed under the name uncultured bacterium. RNAcentral describes it as "partial 16S ribosomal RNA". It matches the Rfam family "Bacterial small subunit ribosomal RNA", at positions 568 to 796 of the family's 1533-position model. The record is from RNAcentral.